This 7680-nucleotide long non-coding RNA is filed under the name Oryza sativa (Asian cultivated rice). RNAcentral's name for it is "long non-coding RNA (OSAT_LNC001270)". Lineage: Eukaryota; Viridiplantae; Streptophyta; Magnoliopsida; Poales; Poaceae. The record is from RNAcentral.
GGAGGCCGCUCGGGAGAACGAAGCCACGAAGGUGGCACAAUGGUGGUCAGCCUGGCAAAUGUUGUCACUGUGACAACAACGGGGAUGUUGGCCUCCACCUGUCUCCCCCUCACUGGUGGCAAGGCCACCAUAUCUGCCCGCCUAGACGCCUGGGGCGACUAACCUGGCUGAUGAUGGUGGCCUCCCUCUCUCCCUUCCCCUCCCACCCAACCGCCUAGACAUCAGGGGCGAUCGCCCUGGUGGGAGAUGGUGGCCUCCUCCUCUCCCUUCCGUUCCCAUCGCUAGCUAGGCGAUCAAAUCUGGGCGCUUAUAGGUCAGGGACCACCGGAUCAGGCCUCCUCUAACCUCACCGACCUGCCUUCCUUUGCCUUCUCGAUGUCCUUGGCAACCUUAACACCAGCACGGGCUACAGUACUUCCAUGAUAAGCAGCAGAGGUGGCAGUAUCCUCAGCCUCUGGCCAACAACGGUGGCGUCAUGGUAAUGCGAUGUGAUUCACCGCUUAUUCUGUUGUAUGAUAUUUAGAUUAUUUUAUUUUUGACUUGAAGCAUGUACUGGCGGUCCUUGUUCUUAUUAUGUUGUAUUUGUGAUUUAGUUCUUGUUCUUGAAUGGAUAUGUGGCGUCCUUGAGCUUGUUCUUGAAUAAGGACCAAUUAGAGUAUGGAUCAGGAUGUGGAUCACAGGGGCACUCAAAAGCAUCGACUCCAUGAAUUGAUUCUUCGAUCUGGUCUCUCUUUUUCGUUUCUUUUGGCUUUUGGGAAGGCACAUCAGUGUCAGCAGUGGCGGUGCUAACAAUUUUACCCUGUGGGAUCAAUUAAUUAUCAUUGCUUAAUAUUUUAGUAUGAUCAUUUACGUAAAAUUCAGUAAAUAUACAUAAAAAAAUUAGUACUCCCAAGGAUGUUAGUGAAAAAGCUGUACAGCUUAUGUGGCUCCGUCACUGGGUGCCGGUUUCUAAACCGGCAUUGAUGCCCCCUUAUCAGUGCUGGAAUCUAGUGUAUAAUUUGUACUAUAUAUGUGGAAUCUAGUGUUCCAAAGCCGGAAUCUAUCAUCAAAAUACUUGAAGCAUGUCUAGUGUAUUUAUAUUAUCUAUUUGUACAAACACAUUUAGAAAAAAAAAACUGAAUAGUUAAAUGAAUUAAAAGAAUCAAUUACGUUACAUGUUAAAAGGCAGAGGUAGAAAGUACGUUAAUUAACCACUACACACUUGCAAACAAAAGAAGAUACCACAUAUUAUUACACGCAUGCAUACCUAGAGCUAAUUAGGGUUAGCUUUACUCAUUAAUCGAUCUCUUCAGUUAACGCAUGCAGUAUAUAUGCAGCUAACUAUACCUAUAUACCUCUAUCAAUCGUACGUUCGUAUAGCGCAGUAGUAUAGUAGACAGCCUGUUCAUCGAUCGAUCGAUAUAUUGCACGCACGUGUCAGAAUAGGUUGCACACGUGAUGAAUUAGGCGUGACAGCUACCCACUUGUGUAGCUAGGACUUGUUUGGCACGUACUGUACUGUACUAUAAACAUAGGAGUCCUCUGUAGAUCCAGAGCUAAGCUAGGUGUUAUAUAUCCUCUGUACACGAUAUGAUCGAUCGUAUAUAUGCAUGCGUGCUACUUAAUUUGGCAUCUUGAUGUGAUUUGUACCAUCUUAUAUAUCAACUCCCUCCAAUUUUAAAUAUAUAUAAUGCCGUUAAACAAUUUAUCUUAUUCAAUUUUCUCUGCAAAUAUGUAAAAAAUAUAAACCAUGCUUUAAAGUAAUUAAUGAUGGAAAAACACCAGACUAAAACCCGAGACUAAAAAAACUGGGUCUGAGACCAAAUAAACCGAACUUUAGGUCAUUGGACUCUUGUUGGUCUGAGCCAACAAAAGAUCACCAAUGAAUGUUUGACAACCCCUCUACGACCCUCAUUCCCCUCCCUUAAAUCCUGUUGACCACUUUUGUCUUCUUUCUCCUGUUGAUCCCUUAAAUCUCGAUGGAGGCAUUUGCUUCUAUCCAUCCUCCAUCGAGGAACACCAAUCAAGCUCUGAUAGACUACCUUUGACUCGAUCUAUCCCCACCUCUAGGAGCAUCGGUUGUGCUAUAAGAGGAUGCUUUCAUCUGCCUCCGUUCCCCAUCCUCUGCGAGUGUACAAUAGUCCUGAAACCCUUCCUUUUCAGCAAGGCAACAGCUCUUCCAUUGCAUGCUUGCCCCCUUGUUGAGCCAUCUCCCACCUCUGUUUCCGUCUCUAUCCACCAUCCCCUACUAGGCCACUCUUAGUGUAGCCUUUCUCAGUUUAGACCGAAUACUAUGUCGAAACCGGUAUUUCGAGUACCGAGACCAUAAGUCCUAAAUCUCCGGUACCAAAUUCGUUUGUCAGUUUCAAAAGACAAGAGUUCUUUUUACCCAAAUUACCCGAAGACCAAAUGCCCACCCUUACUUAAAAUAUCUGUAAUGAUUAAAAAAAUCACAAUAUAAUAGAUGAUACUUACAUAGUAUUUUUAAAUAAAACAAACGAUCAAACAUAUAUCGAAAAGUCAAUAGCAUCCUAUAUUAAAAAACGGAUGAAUUAUAUAGAUAUCGACCAAUCAAACCAUUAUAGUUCAGAGUAUAUAUGUUAAUAUGUUAUUAGCUUUAUAUAUAGGUCCCAUCUGUAACCAGUUUUAUCCUUCAAUUCGCAUCUUCUUAAUUACUACUCUCUUUGUUCUAAAAUAUAAGAAUCUAAGAUUGGAUGAGAUAUUUUCUAGUACUACUAAUCUGGACAGGCAACUUGUCCAUAUUCGUAGUACUAGGAAAUGCCCUAUCUGGUACUAUGUUUUUAUAUUUCGAGAUAGAGGGAGUAGUUUAAUUUAGAAAUGAUAUCCCCGGAGAAAUAUGAUUAAAAUCAAGUAUAUUUCGUGAUUCCCAACUUUUACAUGUUAUGUGCAUUGGUGGUCAAAUUAUAUCGGAUUUGCUAACUAUGUUUCGGCAGGAAGUCGAUUGAGAAAAGAAAAAUCGCGAACGGCGUCGAGAGAGAAAUCUUGCACAGUAUCUUGCGAAUGCCUGCUUGCUGUGACUUGAGUGCCGAACAGGCCCGAUGGUAUGCUUCCACCACUCUGGGCUUUUUCAUCACAAAUCUAUCCAGCCCAUAAAAUUAGGCCCACGAAAUUGGGCCUAAACUACAGCCCAUCCAAAAACAGGGACUCAAAAUUAUGAUUUCUUUAAACAAAAUUUAUUUUCAGACCAGGAACACAUUCUCUAAUCAAUCAAUCAAUCAAUUAAUUAGUACUUAGUACAAACAAAAUUAUGACGAUUGCUUCUUUGCUCUCUCACUGCAUGCAGGCCCCACCUCUGUGGGACAAUGGACACGUGUCACCAGCACCUUAAAUGUACAGUCGACGACGUUUCUUUUGUUUUUUAAAAAAGAAAGAAGAAAACAUGCAUGUGUACACAAAACGACAACGCUAAGUUAGGCAAAUUAAGGCCAGUGAAGUAUAUACCAGUACAAAGGGUAGGUCCGUGCAGAGUGUGUCAUCUUCAGUAGCUCAGUUUGAAGACGAGCUUAAUUAAAUUGCAUAAUUGAGAUGUGAGACCUAACAACUUUGACUUAUUUGGCCAAUUUUGCAUCCGGCCAAAUUAACAACACAAGUAGUAGCUUGAUCCAUACAAAUCAUGAAAACUAUCUAGUUAUAUUAAACAAGCGAGAACAUGUUCCUAUUAUCUUGCUUAGUUAUAUAGUGUCUUGAACGGAAGAUUCAUACAUAUUCAUUUGAACAUUUAGGUUGUUUUGACUUAUUUGACAUAGGCUGAACAUUUUAAAAGAAAAAAACAUGUUCAUUUUAGCUACUUCGUUGGAUAAUUGCCACAAAUUAUUUGCUCCAUAAUUUGAAAAUAUAUUUUCUAAAAAGAAAUUAUUUUCAUGGAAUUGUUUAUACCAUGUUCUAAACUAUUUGUUAAGAUUAUUUUUUAUUUUUUAAUGAAGUAGAUAAUUCGUAGCAAUAAUUCUAGGCAGAACUCCCUUCUUUCUUUUUUCUUCCUUUUCAUUUUUUAAAGAAAAAAAUCGAACCGUUUUGCUGCCACCGUGGAACACUCACACUGUCACACAAAGAUCCAAAAGCAUGCAAAUUAGGAUGAGGUGUUCGGUAGCAAAUGGCAAUAAUUGAGGAAGGCACAUGUACACUUGCUCCCCUGAGGAUCGAACAGUAAAUCAAUCAAUCAGAUGGCCCGGCUGUAUGUCAUCUGCUCAAAAGGAAGCUAGGCAGACAGUAUGUCAUCUGUCAAAGCAUAUGCUAAGCUUCCCACAUUAUCUUAAUUAACUUUACUCCCCUCUACUAUAUUAUAUAUAAAGACAUUGUUAGCUUUAGCAUGAUAGCCUCUCAUCGUUUGUUUGGAUAUCAGAGGCUAAAGAAAUCGUUUGAGAAAAUAUAUUAAAAUUUCAAUUUAAGUUAAUUUAAGAUUUUCUUUAUCGUAGUUUAUUUAUCAGCAUUGUCUUGUCUCUUCAAACUACUAUUAACACACAUAUAUAAAAAGUGUUGUCCAUAAAUUUAUUAUUGCCAUGGAUGAAGCAAUCAGAUCCUAACUACUAGUCUUUAGGCCUUCUUAAUUUAUUAUUUUACAUGCAAGCAGAGAAUAGGGGAAGAAAAACAUAAUAGUAAAUAAAAAAAAUAAGUCAUGUGUUUGCUGGCAAAGCUCAGCUGUGAUAAGGUAGAGAGAGAGUGGAUGAUGCAUUAUUAUUGGCACAUGAAGAUGGUCAAUUGGGGGCGUAGAUUUAGGUGGUGUGGACACCUACCUACCUAGUAGUAGUACUGUCUAUGUAUGAAAGCUCAACCGGUGGGAGCUAGCUGAAGCUGAGGGUAGCGCAUCAUCCACCAACCUCAUGGUGCAACUUAUUUUUCAUAUGUACAGCCUAAAUUUUCCGUGCACUUUGAAACAGGCAAGAAAUGAUCGGAUCUUAAUGUUGUUUGAAAUAACAAUGUUAAAUUUUAUUAAACAUCAUAUGGUGUUAGCUCUUAUUGUUGUUAUUGUUGUAGUAAGAGCCUUUUCUACACAAGUUCAUUGUGAAUUAAUUCGUGCAUUGAAUUGCAUUACACGAUAAAAUUCAGGGAGUAAAUUACACUAGCGGUUCUUAAACUUAUAACGAAGUUUCACUUAGGUCCAUGAACUUGCAAAACACGCAUCGAGAUCCUUAAACUUGGUUUAAUGUAACAUCCGGGUCCAAAGUCUCGUUUGACUGUGGUCUUACCUACGUGGACGAUGACAUGGAAUUUUUAUUUUUUUUCUCCUUUCUUCCUUCUUUUUUUCUCCCUUCUUAUCCCUUUUUUUCUCCACUUUGCCUCCUUCCUCUCCCUUCUGCCGCAUUUUUCUCCACGCGAGGUGAGGAAGGAGAGAAAAGAUGGGAAGAAAAAAAGGGAAAAAGAAAAAUUAGCCAUGUCAUCGACCACGUGGCAUGACAUAUAGGCAAGAUCACGGUGUCAAACCAGACUUUGGACCAGGAUGACAUGGAAGUUUAAGGAUUUCGAUGCGCGCUUUGCAAGUUCGUGGACCUAAGUGAAACUUCAUUACAAGUUUAAGGACCGCUUGUGUAAUUUACUCAAAUUCAGGCAUAUUAAAAUUUUCUACGUGAACUAUCAUUUAUAAAUCAAAAGUAAAUAGAGAGCGACAUACAUAAAGGAUAAAAGUAUGUAAAUACAAAAAAUAAUCUAGAAGAUAACACGCAUAAUAUAUAGCGAUAGAUGACGACUUUACCUUUUCCAACUGAUAUAGAUCGACUCGAUGUGUAUAUCUUGAUCGUAAAAUGUACUACCUUAGUUUUGAGAUUUAAAGCAAACCAAGCAAACCCACACGUGUACAUUCUUUAACAUUACUUUUAGGGGCUGCCAAGCGAGUUUUACUCUUAGAUAGUACAUAUGAAGAGGAUUCUCUUACUUACUUCUAACUUUGAGUCACUAACAUGUGGGUCUACUGAGUAGAUGGCACACGUGUCAAUGGUAUAAGUUAAAAAUGGCAUAAGUUAAAAGGACGUAAGUUAGAGGAUCUCAAUCCAUAGUAUAUGUGGCUGCUCGGGCUUUAUGUCCACGAGUCUUUGGCCGACUGUCGUUUUGUGUUGGAAUACACGGUUGAUUUAAGUAGUUUCCGGGUAAGACAUUGAUCUUGUGUCAUGCCUGCUAGCUGCUCAUGGUUUACAUGUUGGAAUCAUGUUUUUAUAACAAAAUUGUCCCACUAAUUCGAUGAUAAUAAGUGGUUUUGUUAGGCUCGUCCAACGCUUUAGUAUUAUUCAUUUCUUCGUCGUGCCAAGUCAACACUCUACAGUGCCCCUAUGCUCGUAGUAGUAUAUGAGCAUGUUUAGUUCGCGAUCGAAAACUUUUGGCAUGUCACAUCGAAUAUACGGACAUACAUUUGAAACAUUAAACGUAGGCUAAUAACAAAAUAAAUUACAUAUUCUGCAUAGAAACUGCGAGACGAAUUUAUUAAGCCUAAUUAUUUCAUCAUUAGCAAAUGUUUGCGUAGCACCACAUUGUCAAAUCAUGGUACAAUUAGGUUUAAAAGAUUUGUCUCGUAAUUUACACGCUAUCAAUGUAAUUAGUUUUUUUUAAUACUCUAUGUACGUGUCUAAAUAUUCAAUGUGACAUGCUGAAAGAUUUUUGUUUGUGAACUAAAUAGAACCUAUAUGUGUUUGCAGAAGUUUCUUAUGUACUCCACUAUACACACUGUGUUGCCGGUUUUUGUUGGUUAGGAGUACAUAAGAAAAAGUGAAACUUGUCCUUGGAUUCUUGGAACAAGCCGACUGUCAUACACUCAAAAUUUAACAAACACAGCAGUACACUCUACUCGUGAUCCACUCUCGGUAAAAAUGCUACUAGUACCAAUCGAGACCGAAUUUCCCAUAAGAAAAAGAAAAAGAAAAUUGAACCUCGAAGAUGCAAAUAUGUAGUAGUACGUAGGUCCGUUCGAACUAGGUACUAUAUUCAGAUUUUAUGAUAGAUUUUGAAGGGCGUAAAUAAAUAGUUCAAAUUUUAAAAAUUUUAAAAAUUAAAUUCUAGCGAUAUAAGACAAUUAUAUAUAGAAAGUUUUUCAAAUAAGCACACGGAUUAGAAAUACUCCAUCCUUUUAAAAUAAGUUUAUUUUUCACCCAUCCCACACAUAUACCAAUAAAAAAAAGACUAGAAUAUUCCAACUUAAUUUAUUAAAUCCAAUAUAAUUAUUCCUCACUUUAUCUAUUCCUAUUACAUUUAUCUUUGCCUUUUAUAAACUUCUAUAUAAUAAUUACGAACAACAAAUUUAUUUUAGCAUAAAUAAAAGAAGCUCUAAAAAUAAACUCCUCAGGACAAAUACAGUGGAAGCGUGUCGGCGAUAUAUACAUAGUGCAGCAGUAUUUUUCUUCCCCAGUUAUUAUUAUUAUUAUUAUUAUUAAAACAAAAAAAAAGAGCGAAAGACACGGAAUAUUUUGAACCUCCUCGUAGUGCUCCCAGACGUGUUCCGACCGAUGAGGUUGUGGGGCCCAGCAAAUACGCGACGACGUCACCCCCUCUCGCAUACGCUACGUGUCCCCUUCCUCCGCGUGGGCCCCACUCCCCCCUCGACCGGACAGAGCAGCAGCAGCAGCCAGCGCCGCCUCCUCCCUUCAAAGCCUCUUCUUCUUCUCACUUCAUCAACAACCUCACCUCGCCUCGCCUCUUCUCGCGGCCAACGAGAGAGGGAGAGGGAGAGCUAGGACCACCGCCACUGCCUCGGGAAGUAGG